RNAcentral lists this small RNA (136 nucleotides) under bacterium SCGC AG-212-C10. RNAcentral's name for it is "c-di-AMP riboswitch aptamer (ydaO/yuaA leader)". It matches the Rfam family "c-di-AMP riboswitch aptamer (ydaO/yuaA leader)". Rfam says of the family: This family represents a conserved RNA structure found upstream of the ydaO and yuaA genes in Bacillus subtilis and related genes in other bacteria. The record is from Rfam by way of RNAcentral. RNAcentral also lists the same sequence under 1 other name.
AGUGCAACCAUGCCUAAUGCGCCGGACGGCGCGGCGGGGGAACCAACUUUGGGGUGAAUUCAGCCGUUUGCGGCUGAUAGGGCGACCUUCCGCCCGAACCCGUCAGCUAACCCCGGCGGCAUUCAGGAAGGCCUGG